CGGCGAGGAGCCUACCAUGCGCUUCCCCGUGCGGAUGGGGAGAGCCCGGCCACGGGCGAGCUGGACCCGGCUCUGAUCAUUUAUGAUCCUGGGCGCCUCCGCUCCGCCACUUGUCAAGGUGACAGGCUGGCCUCUCGGGCGAGGCUGAAAGCGCCAGUGACCUGGGCGCGCUGCGCGGGGCUCCGCACCCCGGGACCCCGGGAGCCCCGACCCGGCGGCGGCGGCGGAGCAGCCCCGGGACCUCCCCCCCCCCCCCCCNCACCGGCGGGGGGACGGCUCCUGGAGGGAGGCCUCUAAAGGCUCCGCACCCCGCAUCCUCCCACCCCCACGCAGAUGAGCAGCCCCACGCAGCCCCGGCCUCCACUUUGCGGUGGGAGGGAAAGGAAAGUUUACUGCUCUCCGCAGGAUCACUGCCGCUUUCUACCCACUUAAGUUCCCUGCAACACCCUCGCUCCCGACUCCCCAGCGCCGGGCUCCCGGGCCUGCGGGAAGCCCGCCCGGGGCAGAGGCAGCUCCGGCAGCGGGGCGCUCUGGACACCCGGUCCGCGACCUUGGCGCAGCCGCUCCCGGACCUUCGCCCCCUGGAACCUGCUCCGCACCCACCGCAGCGGGGCUGGGGCGAGCGCGCUCGCGGCGCCCUCCCGGAGCCCUAGCCCCCC
This 659-nucleotide long non-coding RNA is filed under the name Vulpes vulpes (red fox). RNAcentral describes it as "lncRNA (ENSVVUG00000012464.1)". The record is from RNAcentral. Lineage: Eukaryota; Metazoa; Chordata; Mammalia; Carnivora; Canidae.